AACGAACGCUGGCGGCAGGCUUAACACAUGCAAGUCGAACGCUCACUUCGGUGAGAGUGGCAGACGGGUGAGUAACGCGUGGGAACAUACCUUUCGGUACGGAAUAACUCAGGGAAACUUGAGCUAAUACCGUAUACGCCCCGUUGGGGGAAAGAUUUAUCGCCGAAAGAUUGGCCCGCGUCUGAUUAGCUAGUUGGAGA
This 200-nucleotide ribosomal RNA is filed under the name uncultured bacterium. RNAcentral describes it as "partial 16S ribosomal RNA". It matches the Rfam family "Bacterial small subunit ribosomal RNA", at positions 29 to 255 of the family's 1533-position model. The record is from RNAcentral.